Molecule: ribosomal RNA, 253 nt
Filed under: uncultured bacterium
Lineage: Bacteria
Description: partial 16S ribosomal RNA
Rfam family: Bacterial small subunit ribosomal RNA
Source: RNAcentral
UACAGAGGUCCCAAGCGUUGUUCGGAUUCACUGGGCGUAAAGGGUGCGUAGGCGGGUCUUUAAGUCAGGGGUGAAAUCCUGGAGCUCAACUCCAGAACUGCCUUUGAUACUGGCGAUCUCGAGUCCGGGAGAGGUGAGUGGAACUGCGAGUGUAGAGGUGAAAUUCGUAGAUAUUCGCAAGAACACCAGUGGCGAAGGCGGCUCACUGGCCCGGUACUGACGCUGAGGUGCGAAAGCGUGGGGAGCAAACAGG